UACGGAGGGUGCAAGCGUUAAUCGGAAUUACUGGGCGUAAAGCGUGCGCAGGCGGUUUGUUAAGUCCGUUGUGAAAGCCCCGAGCUCAACUUGGGAAUUGCAGUGGAUACUGGCAGGCUGGAGUACGGUAGAGGAAGGUGGAAUUCCCGGUGUAGCAGUGAAAUGCGUAGAUAUCGGGAAGAACACCCGUGGCGAAGGCGGCUCUCUGGGACGGUACUGACGCUGAGACGCGAAAGCGUGGGGAGCGAACAGG
RNAcentral lists this ribosomal RNA (253 nucleotides) under uncultured bacterium. RNAcentral describes it as "partial 16S ribosomal RNA". It matches the Rfam family "Bacterial small subunit ribosomal RNA", at positions 524 to 776 of the family's 1533-position model. The record is from RNAcentral.